Molecule: ribosomal RNA, 301 nt
Filed under: uncultured bacterium
Lineage: Bacteria
Description: partial 16S ribosomal RNA
Rfam family: Bacterial small subunit ribosomal RNA
Source: RNAcentral
CAGUCGCCGCGGGAAUACGGAGGGUGCAAGCGUUAAUCGGAAUUACUGGGCGUAAAGCGCACGCAGGCGGUCUGACAAGUCAGAUGUGAAAUCCCCGGGCUUAACCUGGGAACUGCAUUUGAAACUGUCAGGCUGGAGUCUUGUAGAGGGGGGUGGAAUUCCAGGUGUAGCGGUGAAAUGCGUAGAGAUCUGGAGGAAUACCGGUGGCAAAGGCGGCCCCCUGGACAAAGACUGACGCUCAGGUGCGAAAGCGUGGGGAGCAAACAGGAUUAGAGACCCCAGUAGUCCCUGUCUCUUAUAC